AUGGGUUGGCACAAAGACAGUUUAAUAGAUAGAGCAAAAGCCAUGCACACAAGCAAAGCAAAACAAGGAAUUCUUUUCCUGCCUCCCAUCGGCAGGCAGGUGUUCAGCCAUCUCCAGGAAAGCUGGGCUCCAUCACACGUAAUGGUUACUUGGGAAGACAAACUCUGUAACUCUAAACAUCUCCCUUUCCCUCUUCUUCCCCCAGCUUUAUAUACUGAGCAUGACAUGGAAUGGUACGGAAUAUCCCUUUGGUCCAUUGGGGUCAGCUGUCCUGGCUGUGUCUCCUCCCAACUUUUUGUGCCCCUUCCCCAGCCUACCCGCUGGUGGGGCGGUGUGAGGAGCAGAAAAGGCCUUGAGAUCUUAGGGACAACUGAAAACAUUAGGGCACUUAUCAGCACCACUCUCAUCCCGAAUCCAAAACAUUGCCCCACACCAGCAGCUAGCAGGAAAGUUAACUCCAUCCCAGCUGAAACCAUGACACCUGGGCUCACUGCUACCACAUCUUGCCCCGUGCUGUCCCCACCACGUGCACUACUCUGCUGGGGUCCCUCCUCCAGCCUGGUUCACGCCUCCUUCUCUGUUCCCUUUCCCCCUCCAGUGGACCAGAGCAUGUUUGAGAACGCCAGCGCCAGUACGGCACCCACCCCACGGCCACAGCAUGUCCCCACCGUGGCGGGUGCCCCGCUGCAGUCCUCCCGUCCUGCCGGCAGCCAAAUGGUUACUUGGGAAGACAAACUCUGUAACUCUAAACAUCUCCCUUUCCCUCUUCUUCCCCCAGCUUUAUAUACUGAGCAUGACAUGGAAUGGUACGGAAUAUCCCUUUGGUCCAUUGGGGUCAGCUGUCCUGGCUGUGUCUCCUCCCAACUUUUUGUGCCCCUUCCCCAGCCUACCCGCUGGUGGGGCGGUGUGAGGAGCAGAAAAGGCCUUGAGAUCUUAGGGACAACUGAAAACAUUAGGGCACUUAUCAGCACCACUCUCAUCCCGAAUCCAAAACAUUGCCCCACACCAGCAGCUAGCAGGAAAGUUAACUCCAUCCCAGCUGAAACCAUGACACCUGGGCUCACUGCUACCCCGUCUUGCCCCGUGCUGUCCCCACCACAUGCACUGCUCUGCACAGCCCUGGCAUAG
This 1128-nucleotide long non-coding RNA is filed under the name Calidris pugnax (ruff). Its description in RNAcentral is "lncRNA (ENSCPUG00000000898.1)". The record is from RNAcentral. Lineage: Eukaryota; Metazoa; Chordata; Aves; Charadriiformes; Scolopacidae.